This is a long non-coding RNA of Benincasa hispida (wax gourd), 2211 nucleotides long. RefSeq lists it as uncharacterized. Lineage: Eukaryota; Viridiplantae; Streptophyta; Magnoliopsida; Cucurbitales; Cucurbitaceae. The record is from RefSeq and is a predicted model, not a curated record.
GGCAAAAAAUGGGAAAGAAGAAAAAACUGAGAGGAAGAGCUCCAAAAUGGUUUAGAUGGGGUUUCUUUAUUGGAAAAUAAAGAAAUAAAUAAAUAAAAGGAGGAUGAAUUCGAUGCGAUGCUUGUCAAGUAAAGAGCCCUCUGCUGUAAAUCAUAACCUUUUGCUCUCGUUGUCUGUUCGACCUUGAACUUAUUUUCUCAAAAUAUAUAAUUUUAUUGUGAGUAUUUUUUUUUAUAAAUAAAAUAAUAAUAAUAAUAAUAAAAUAAAACCCUUAAUUUUUUUUAUGGAUUCAUUGGUAGGUAGCAGCAAAAGGUCUGCACUUUUUGGUAGGUAAGGGCAAAUGCCUUUGGCCCCCUCAAGAAAAGAAGGUGAAAAAUAUUUUUAUUUUUAUUUUUAUUUUUAUUUUUGAAAAAAAUAAAAACAAUAUUAUUUUAAAAACUUUUAUUUAACCAAAGGGAAAAAAAUGUCAGUUUUUAAUGACCUUUUGAUGCAUUCUAUGAUACAAAAGUUCCUAGUUUAGAUAGUCAAAGAAAUUUUGUGAUUUUCUAUGUCGGGUGUCCUCUAUUCUUAGCAAGGAUUUUGAUUGGCUUUUCUUUAUAGCUAACGAUUUUUCUUAAAAAAAAACAUAGAUCGACUGAAAAUAUACAAUAAAAAAGUCUCGUGGUGAUAAGUAUUCAAAUUAAAUAUUGUUUUUUCCUAAUAAAUUUGUAGGAUGGUUUUAUAUUAUUAGAAGGGAAUACAUCCAAUGAGAUUUGAAUCUAUAUAAUAUUAGGUUUCUUUUUUUAUCAUUUAAUUAUGAAUUAUAUUGUUUUUAUUUUUGUCUUUUUUUUUAAAAAAAAACUUUACAAGUUAAUUCUAUCGAUUUUUUUAUCUACGGAAGUGAACUAUAUUAAAAAGGAAAAUAUUUUUUUAUAACAACACUAUUGUUUAAUUUACUGAUGUGGAGACAAGGUUUCUAUUUCUUUAUUUAUUCAGGUUAUAAAUCUGGGGCAGAAAUAAGAAAUAAUGUUUGAAAAAUAUUAAAUUUUUUUUAUUAUAACUGGAAUCCGUUUGACAACUAUUUAAUCCCGUGUUUUAAGUUUUUGAAAAAUACUUAAAACUUACAAAUCAAUAUUUUCCACCUAACUUUCUUUAUCGUGUUAUUUAAAUCACUAAAAAUAUUUUCGAAACUUAAGUAAAAAAUUUGAAAAUUAAAUAAAAAAAUGUUUGAAAAAUAUUUUUUUAAAGUUGGGCUAACAAUGCAAAUGUUUAUUAAGAAAUUUGGAAAACCAUGGUAAGGAAUUGUGGAAAAUAAAAAAAUGAAAUUAUUAAAAAAAACAAACAAAAGAUGUGCUUUCCAAUAUUGAAUGAAAAAUUAAUAACGACUAUUGAGGUCAUUCUUUUUUAUUAUUAUUAUUUUAAAAUUCUUUUCAUGUAAUAUAUACCAGUGCUAAAAUAAAAACAUUUAAAAGUUUAUAGUGACAGUUGACGUAGUUGACGUAUACAGUUAAGUUGAGUUGAGGAAGUAUAUACUUAAAAAAAGUCGAAAAUCAAAGCAAAAAUUUUUAAAAUAUGUUUCUUUUUAUAUAUAUAUUUUUUUUUUUGAGAAAAAUCAUUUAAAUGUCGUUGAAAAUAUUUUCAAAUAUAACAAAAUAUUAUAGUUUAUCAGUGAUAGACACUGAUAGACAUCUAUCAGUAUCUAUUAAUAUCGAUCAAUGAUAGUAGUGUAUCAUUGUCUAUCAAUGAUAGACAGUGACAUUUUGCUAUAUUUAUAAAUAUUUUAAUUAUUUUUCUAUAUUUGAAAACAAUUCUAUUUUUAGCUGUUGUUUGGACAAAUUUAAAUAUGAGGUCGAAGAGACAACGAACACAAGGGUUUAGCAGAAGACUGUUUAUUUGACAAAGGAUUUGCAUGGAAUUCAAUGCCUCCCAUUUAGUUGAGGGAGAUUUUACAAGUUCGUCCAAAUCCAUGAGAAAUUAUUGAAGCAAGUCAUCAAAAAGGUGAACAGUAGUUUUACACUUUUUUCAGAUAUUUGAAAAAAAAGAAACUCUAAAAGUAUUUCAAAUUUUUUAGUGAUUAUUAUUUAUUAGAGGACAUGAAUUUUUUUUUAAGAAAGAUAUUGUAAAGUGUGGAGUGAGAGAAUCGAACCUCAAACUACGAGGUUGAUAAUAUAAACACUAUGUCAGUUGAGCUACGCUUUUGUUGGCUAGAGAACAUGAAUUUUCUUAAAGAUA